CUUUACUGUAGUCUGAUAUUGAAAUUCGGCACAGCUUGUACAGGAUAGGUAGGAGCCUGAGAUGCGUGAGCGCUAGCUUACGUGGAGGCGUUGGUGGGAUACUACCCUCGCUGUGUUGGAUUUCUAACCCGCACCAUUUAUCAUGGUGGGAGACAGUGUCAGAUGGGCAGUUUGACUGGGGCGGUCGCCUCCUAAAGAGUAACGGAGGCGCUCAAAGGUUUCCUCAGAAUGGUUGGAAAUCAUUCAUAGAGUGUAAAGGCAUAAGGAAGCUUGACUGCGAGACUUACAAGUCGAGCAGGGUCGAAAGACGGACUUAGUGAUCC
Molecule: ribosomal RNA, 323 nt
Filed under: Staphylococcus xylosus
Lineage: Bacteria; Bacillati; Bacillota; Bacilli; Caryophanales; Staphylococcaceae
Also listed under: 1 other name
Description: bacterial LSU rRNA
Rfam family: Bacterial large subunit ribosomal RNA
Source: RNAcentral